UACGGGGGGGGCAAGCGUUGUUCGGAAUUACUGGGCGUAAAGGGCUCGUAGGUGGCCAACUAAGUCGGACGUGAAAGCCCCCGGCUCAACCGGGGAAUUGCAUCGGAUACAGCCCGGCUUGAGGACGGUUGGGGUGAGUAGAACUCCUGGUGGAGCGGUGAAAUGCGUAGAUAUCAGGAGGAACACCGGUGGCGAAAGCGGCUCACUGGACCGUAACUGACGCUGAGGUGCGAAAGCUAGGGGAGCAAACGGG
RNAcentral lists this ribosomal RNA (253 nucleotides) under uncultured bacterium. Its description in RNAcentral is "partial 16S ribosomal RNA". It matches the Rfam family "Bacterial small subunit ribosomal RNA", at positions 524 to 776 of the family's 1533-position model. The record is from RNAcentral.